This 101-nucleotide small nucleolar RNA is filed under the name Otolemur garnettii (small-eared galago). Lineage: Eukaryota; Metazoa; Chordata; Mammalia; Primates; Galagidae. The record is from RNAcentral.
ACUGGGAUAUAUGUUGGAAAUACCUCACAGAGUAACAUCAUGGUUUUGCUUUACUCUAAGGACUAUUUGUUAGGUCUGUGAGAAGGAACUAUAAGAUAAUU